AAACAACAUUUAGUCUUCUUAUCUGCCAACAUUGCCCUCAUUGUCAUCCAAACUUACAAAGUGGAAAUGUAACCUUGCACAGCAACUAUGCAGUGGUGGCCUGAUACCAUAUAGUUACAGCAGAUGGCGCAACAAGAUAAAAAGGCAUCAGGAGAGAGAGCGAGUGAAGGAGCGAGGCAAGAGAGAGUCUGUUCUUCACACUAUCGCAUCUUAGCAUGCUGGUUCUCCGGCUAUGCACCUGCAACCUCUCUUUGCAGUCCUCCUACUGUACUCCUCCCCGGCGGUCGUAUAGCGGUAGUGCGCACUGUGCAGCGGGAGUGCGCAAGACGGCCGGCAUGCACCUGGAGAGAAACCAAGCAGUCCAAGGGCUCAACCGGAGACCAAUAAGCAUGACGAGCGAUGCUAUAACAGCAGGGAUCUAGCAGCAGAGCACCGGGCGGAUAUCGGAGCUGCAGCAUGGGCGUGGGAGAGAGGCACAGACAAAAUGAAAGCGAUGUAAUUCCAUGGACAUAAGAAGGGUGGGUGGGGGGAACCCAAGUACCGUUUGGAUCAGAAUUGUCCCGGGUGUAUUUUGUGGCUUGGUUUGGUGUCUUGUUCUCUGAAAUUCACCACAUACCGUACUGUUUUCCCUGUCAUUUUCCACUGGAGUUUAAAAGGAUGGAGAACGGCUCACAGCAGCAUCCGCAGCUGUCCAAAAGCGCAGAUAGUCAGGCGGAGGACAUCUCCAAAAUAAACGACGAGGAGCUGCUGAAGUGGGGCAAAGAGAAACUGGUGCGACGGCUACUGAGGGCAGAGUCAGAGAAAAGGGGCGUCAUCGUGGAGCACGGCAAUCUUAUGCGGGAGGUGAACCGGAGACUCCAGCAGCACCUGAACGAGAUACGGAGUUUGAAAGAUGUGAACCAGAAACUGCAGGAGGACAACCAGGAACUGCGGGACCUGUGCUGCUUUCUGGACGACGACCGGCAGAAGGGUAAGCGGGUGUCGCGGGAGUGGCAGCGUCUGGGCCGCUAUAGCGCCAGCCUGAUGAGGAAGGAGGUGGUCAUCUACCUGCAGAAGCUGAAGGAGCUGGAGCAGCGGCAGGUGGAGGUCAUCCGGGAGAACCUGGAGCUCAGGGAGGUGUGCCUCAUGCUGGAGGAGGAGAGGGCUGCGGCUGUGGUUGUAGGGGGUGGAAGUGGUGGUGUGUGCAGGAAGGGAGGCCCUGGCUGCAGGAUCUCCAUUGACAGUCAGAGCAGCUUGUCUCAGCUGGGUGGAUGUGUCCCAGCACCUGGCCUGCUGCGAGACGUCGGCGAUGGAAGCAGCACCUCCAGCGCAGGGAGUACAGAUAGCCCUGAUAACCCACACCUAAAACCUCCUCCCCUGGGCUCCAACGCUAGCCCUGGAUCUGGGUCAACAUGUGUCUCCUCAGAGCACCCCGACAAACCAGGAGACGUGUGCGAACCAACAGGCAGGAGGCACAGCUCCACCACUGAGUACCACACCUUCCCCCAGUCCUGUCGCACCCGUGGAGGGUCCCUCACCACCCUGGACCCUUGUGGCCUUUGGGGACACAGCCCAGGGAAACACAGCAAGUCUCCCACCAGGCUACCAUGUGACUCCCAUCCAAAAACCUGCAGCUCUGACCUACUAGCCCAGAAACAGCUAUUGAUGUCAGGGCAGGCAUCGCCAGACUGUGGCAAGGGCUCAGCCAAGUCCAUCCCAGAGCUGAGUCAGGGACCACUUAACACGGCAGGGGCAGGCUGUGGGAGUCCUGAGGCCAAGCAGGCAGUGAUUGGGACGCCUGAGCACCUGAGGAAGGGGCGGGUAAUUGUGGGUAGUCCAGAGUCUAUAUGGCAACACCAUCACAAUCAGCACAGCCACGGGGUGGAGCAUGGCAAGGGGAGGUAUAGCAGUGGCUCCCCUGGCAGGGACGGGGCUCAGAGGAGGGCAGCGGGAGAGGAAAUGGCCCCCCACCACCACAGCUUGUACAACGCAGUGGUCUAUUAGGAUGAAGGUCCAGCAGAGCAGUACGAAGGGAGAGUUGGAACAGUCCCCACAAUCUGUUCCCCCAGCUAGAGACAAAUGCUCUGAUAUCUGCUGGUUGCUGCACCAACUCCUGCAGGAGUGUAAAGCUUUGGGACAGCUUUGAUGCCUCCUGACCAUAACAUGCCUUUGAUCAGAUGCUGCUAUGACAACACACACACCCGAGAGAGAAGAAGAAGGUUAUUAGCAGGAUGGAUGGAUGGAUGAAUGAAGGACAUGUGGAUCGAUGCAUAACUGGAUGGAUAAAUGGAUCAUGAAAUUCAAAAUCAAGCAGUGAGGGUGAGGGAGUAGAUGAGUGAAACAAGGUGACAAAGAAGCAAAACACUGGAAACACUUGAACUCUGUGUCUGCUGCUGCUGCUAUGCAUUUCUUGUGGACCACCAGAAAAGACUGUAUGUCACUGUUUGGACAGGCAAAGGCUCAUCCAUGCAUUGCCAAAAUGAAGAGAGGAAUAUACAGUGGUGUGAAAAAGUGUUCGCCCCCUUCCUGAUUUUUUUUUUGCAUGUUUGUC
Siniperca chuatsi (mandarin fish) is the source of this 2530-nucleotide RNA transcript. It is a transcript of the gene named coiled-coil domain-containing protein 85A-like, with no coding region annotated. The record is from RefSeq and is a predicted model, not a curated record. The transcript is spliced from 5 exons. Lineage: Eukaryota; Metazoa; Chordata; Actinopteri; Centrarchiformes; Sinipercidae.